This 253-nucleotide ribosomal RNA is filed under the name uncultured bacterium. Its description in RNAcentral is "partial 16S ribosomal RNA". It matches the Rfam family "Bacterial small subunit ribosomal RNA", at positions 524 to 776 of the family's 1533-position model. The record is from RNAcentral.
UACGUAGGGGGCGAGCGUUGUCCGGAGUUACUGGGCGUAAAGGGCAUGCAGGCGGUCGGACGCGUUUUGUGUGACAGCGGGUGGCUCAACUACCCGAGCAUGCGCAAGACGGUCGGACUUGAGGACUCGAGAGGGACACGGAAUUCCGGGUGGAGUGGUGAAAUGCGUAGAGAUCCGGAGGAACACCGAAGGCGAAGGCAGUGUCCUGGCGAGUGACUGACGCUGAGGUGCGAAAGCCAGGGGAGCGAACGGG